RNAcentral lists this ribosomal RNA (500 nucleotides) under uncultured bacterium. RNAcentral's name for it is "bacterial SSU rRNA". It matches the Rfam family "Bacterial small subunit ribosomal RNA", at positions 29 to 507 of the family's 1533-position model. The record is from RNAcentral.
AAUCAACGCUGGCGGCGUGCCUAACACAUGCAAGUCGAACGCGAAAGCCCCGCAAGGGGUAAGUAGAGUGGCAAACGGGUGAGUAACACGUGGGUGACCUGCCUUCGAGUGGGGGAUAACGUCCCGAAAGGGACGCUAAUACCGCAUGACAUCCUGCCUUUGGAAAGGCGGAGAUCAAAGCUGGGGAUCGCAAGACCUGGCGCUUGAAGAGGGGCCCGCGCCUGAUUAGCUAGUUGGUAGGGUAACGGCCUACCAAGGCAACGAUCAGUAUCCGGCCUGAGAGGGCGGACGGACACACUGGGACUGAGACACGGCCCAGACUCCUACGGGAGGCAGCAGUGGGGAAUUGUUCGCAAUGGGCGCAAGCCUGACGACGCAACGCCGCGUGGAGGACGAAGAUCUUCGGGUCGUAAACUCCUGUCGAGCGGGAAGAACAGAUUGCGGGUGAACAGCCCGUAGUCCUGACGGUACCGUUAAAGGAAACCCCGGCUAACUCCGUG